Branchiostoma floridae (Florida lancelet) is the source of this 864-nucleotide long non-coding RNA. RefSeq lists it as uncharacterized. The transcript has 3 exons. NCBI's taxonomy places the organism in Eukaryota, Metazoa, Chordata, Leptocardii, Amphioxiformes, Branchiostomatidae. The record is from RefSeq and is a predicted model, not a curated record.
ACUGUUGAUUUAGGACAAACAACCUCAUCUAAAGCUACACCGAGAUAGUGCACCAGACGGAGAGAUAAUUAGAUCGUAACAGACUUCAUCACAUAUCUAUUAAGACUAGGAGGAGCUCCUUCUGCGACAAAUAUCCUUGAGUAAGAUGCUCAGUAUCGCCAGACUGCUGAAGAGCCAUGAGUGAGAGAUGGGGAGAAUUAUGGCGAUUCUGACACAGUGGAGGGAGUGUGUCCUGUUUCUGUCAAGUGUGUGAGGGGUUGCACCCUAGUCGUGCUGGUGUGUGAGCAUCACAACGUCCCUGGGGCUACGCCGGACUGCAGGACCAGCACACGCGCCACACAUUUUCUUCUGUUUCCCGAGCGGAAAGCAAGCACAUAGCGGUUGUCCUUUGCACCCGACACUUGAGGUACAUUGCCUGGUCUCCCCGCACCUGCCGGAUAUACCUAGUGUCGAGUCCGAGACGGGCGGACUGCACCAUACUAGUGUCUCGUACCACGAAUGACGUAUUCUCACUAUAUCUGGAGCACCGACUGUCAAGAGCGACCACGCACAUCAUCUGAAAUGGACGUGUCUUCUUUGAUAACCUCCUUAAGGUUACAGUAACCUUGGAUACUGCCAUCAAGAAGUUCCUAUCAGUCCAAAGUCGUUUCCAGUUGGUUUAAAAUGUUUCACUGUUUGAUAAUACUCAAAAUCAACUGGCCACAUUGACAUUGAACACACCUCCUUUAAAGACUUGUCAGAUCCUUUGAAGUUUUUGAUCAAGUUUAGGUAGAGUAACACCGACGAGAAGAUGAUAACGGAUAGCCCCAUUAACACAACGGAGCUCAUCGAAUACAUGACAGACAGUCUGUAUGCCCGAACAGA